AGUGCUUUGCUCGGCCUUUUGGCUAAGAUCAAGUGUAGUAUCUGUUCUUAUCAGUUUCAAGUUGUUGUGGAGCUGGUGGGGAUGGGUGCUGCACGGAGGGGACAGGUAUACCGGGACGUUCCGGGGCAGGGUCUGAGGAAUCAGCUCGACAGCUGCCCUGAAAUGACCUGUUUCCCUCUGGAUUUU
Molecule: small nuclear RNA, 186 nt
Organism: Hyla sarda
Lineage: Eukaryota; Metazoa; Chordata; Amphibia; Anura; Hylidae
Product: U2 spliceosomal RNA
Exons: 1
Source: RefSeq, a predicted model, not a curated record